RNAcentral lists this ribosomal RNA (450 nucleotides) under uncultured bacterium. RNAcentral describes it as "partial 16S ribosomal RNA". It matches the Rfam family "Bacterial small subunit ribosomal RNA", at positions 354 to 796 of the family's 1533-position model. The record is from RNAcentral.
GUGGGGAAUUUUGGACAAUGGGCGCAAGCCUGAUCCAGCCAUGCCGCGUGCAGGAUGAAGGCCUUCGGGUUGUAAACUGCUUUUGUACGGAACGAAAAGACUCUUUCUAAUAAAGAGGGUCCAUGACGGUACCGUAAGAAUAAGCACCGGCUAACUACGUGCCAGCAGCCGCGGUAAUACGUAGGGUGCGAGCGUUAAUCGGAAUUACUGGGCGUAAAGCGUGCGCAGGCGGUGAUGUAAGACAGAUGUGAAAUCCCCGGGCUCAACCUGGGAACUGCAUUUGUGACUGCAUCGCUGGAGUGCGGCAGAGGGGGAUGGAAUUCCGCGUGUAGCAGUGAAAUGCGUAGAUAUGCGGAGGAACACCGAUGGCGAAGGCAAUCCCCUGGGCCUGCACUGACGCUCAUGCACGAAAGCGUGGGGAGCAAACAGGAUUAGAAACCCGUGUAGUCC